UUUCUACUCCCUCCGAUUCAUAUUAAUUGUCGAAAUAUUACAUGUAUCUAGACGCUUUGUAAGCGUAGAUACAUCCAUAUUUGAUCAAAUUUGAGACAAUUAAUAUGGAUCGGAGGGAGUAUAUG
Brachypodium distachyon (stiff brome) is the source of this 125-nucleotide non-coding RNA. Lineage: Eukaryota; Viridiplantae; Streptophyta; Magnoliopsida; Poales; Poaceae. The record is from Rfam.